UACGUAGGUGGCAAGCGUUGUCCGGAAUUAUUGGGCGUAAAGCGCUCGUAGGCGGUCCAGCAAGUCGGGUGUGAAAGCCCUCGGCUUAACCGAGGAAGUGCAUUCGAAACUACUGGACUUGAAUACUGGAGAGGAUCGCGGAAUUCCCGGUGUAGAGGUGAAAUUCGUAGAUAUCGGGAGGAACACCAGUGGCGAAGGCGGCGAUCUGGACAGAUAUUGACGCUGAGGUGCGAAAGCGUGGGGAGCAAACAGG
This 253-nucleotide ribosomal RNA is filed under the name uncultured bacterium. Its description in RNAcentral is "partial 16S ribosomal RNA". It matches the Rfam family "Bacterial small subunit ribosomal RNA", at positions 524 to 776 of the family's 1533-position model. The record is from RNAcentral.